UGAGGGAAUAUUGGGUCAAUGGGCGGAAGCCUGAACCAGCCAUGCCGCGUGAAGGAAUAAGGCCCUAUGGGUCGUAAACUUCUUUUGGCGGGGAGCAAUAAGGUCUACGUGUAGACCGAUGAGAGUACUCGUUGAAUAAGCAUCGGCUAACUCCGUGCCAGCAGCCGCGGUAAUACGGAGGAUGCGAGCGUUAUCCGGAUUUAUUGGGUUUAAAGGGUGCGUAGGCUGUUUGUCAAGUCAGAGGUGAAAGGCCGCAGCUCAACUGUGGAAUUUGCCUUUGAUACUGGUGUGCUUGAGUGCGUGCGAGGGAGGCGGAAUGCGUUGUGUAGCGGUGAAAUGCAUAGAUAUGACGCAGAACUCCGAUUGCGAAGGCAGCUUUCCAGCACGCCACUGACGC
This 397-nucleotide ribosomal RNA is filed under the name uncultured bacterium. Its description in RNAcentral is "bacterial SSU rRNA". It matches the Rfam family "Bacterial small subunit ribosomal RNA", at positions 354 to 746 of the family's 1533-position model. The record is from RNAcentral.